CAGCGCUGGGUGCUGUGUAGCUGUGGUCUGCGCCACCGUCUCUGCUCGGGGCACCUCGGGCCACCAUGGCCACCCCACAGCCACCAGCGCCCACCUUAUGGCCUCCACCACCCUCUCACCCCCACCCUGCAGCCACCCUGCUCUCCACUGAUUUGGGCUAGUGCCAACAAUGUCAAGUAACAGGAUAGUCUGGAAACGCUCUUCCUUAGGUCACUAUCUUCUUGGAUUUGCUGUGACUUUUCUGCUCUUUUGAUGGCAGGGAGCCUGCCUUGAUCUCUGCAAUCAGGAAUGUGGCUGAGCAAAUGCAGCUUGUACCUGCUGGAUGGAUACACCUCCCAGAUGCUCUGUGCUAGAAGGUUCCUGGCAGUGCAGGGAAAGGUGGCUCUGCAGGUGGAGGCUCCACAUAAUGGGCUCAAAACAUCUGGUCCAGUGGUUAAAAGCUGUUCACAGGGGUGACUGGACCCCACUAAGCAUUCUUUCGUCUGUAGUGAAUAUUUCACCAAAAACAGCUCUAGGAAAGGCUGCAGGAUCAGUACUAUGUGCUCAAGCCAUGGCCACGCCCUCCAUCUUCCACCUGACCGAGAAGUGGGGGCUGAAGGCCACGGCCGCCCCAGGAGAAAGGACACUAGGAAGGCCACCGGGGGCCUGAGGAACAUGCGCGUGAAGCAGAUGGGAAAGGAGUUUCAGGUUUAUUGUGGUCCUUGAGGGAAAAGCUGAGGGCCCAGCCGUGGUCCCGCAAGUGGAAGUAACCCGCUCUGCAGGGUGAACACGCACCCAGUGCCGCCCAGGAAGCUGCCAGUCAGGAUUGGGCGCAGUCUCUGGAAGGAACUCCAGGAGACAGUGUGGCCUCCACAGCAUUAGGCAGCCAAGGAGAUGCAAACACGUCUGCUGUAGAUGCUGGUGAUGAGACCCCCUCUUCCCAGCCAGGGCCUGCUGGUUUCUUCUCAGAGCACACUCAAGAGAGGCCAUCUGUCCCUUGAGAGGCUGUUGACCAAAAGAGGCUGAAGAAGGAUGUGGAGCCCAGCUGCAGCGGGACCAGCCUGGGGCCUGAUGAGAGCUUGGCCCAGAACCCCCAAGUUCAUCAUUCACAAUGAUGCCUCAGAAACCCUCCCAGAGCCCCUCACCCUCCGACGGAUGUCA
This is a long non-coding RNA of Diceros bicornis minor, 1140 nucleotides long. RefSeq lists it as uncharacterized. The transcript has 3 exons. The record is from RefSeq and is a predicted model, not a curated record. NCBI's taxonomy places the organism in Eukaryota, Metazoa, Chordata, Mammalia, Perissodactyla, Rhinocerotidae.